CAGAAACACAGUAGACAGAGCUCGUGCAGUACAUCGGUAUUGUUUACAGUAGGUGACAUGAGGAGUUUGAAAGGCGGAGAGAGGAAAGAAAAGGAUAAGAGACGACAGAAGAGGGAGUCAGUCCAUCCUUUCGGAAAGCUUUCGCCUCCAUGAUCGGAGAGGGACUGGAGGAGUGUGUGGAGGAAGGGGAAAGAUGGAAAGAUGGAUUGGAGAGACACUGGAGAGGAGGAUGGAGACGAUGAUGAUGACAGUGACGAUGAUGAUGAAGAAGAAGAGGACAAUGACAGAAAUCAAGUCACACCUGGAGAUGUGUUCGCCCUUGAAAUGGAGCUGAACCGUGAGAACAAGAAAAUAAUGAUGGACUCUUCAGCUGCCCAGCAGGAACUGAAGCUGGACUCUUCUGCCUGCUCAAGGACGCACUGAUGAUUACAUUGAUACUGUAUUGACCUUGCUAUCCAUGCUCCAUAAGGUCAGAAUCGGACUUCAUGUCUAAUAUAAAGAGAGCAGUGUGUGGCUAGUGGCAAGUAUAAUAUGAUAUAUACAUAAUGCAAUUCAAUACUGGCAGAGAUGUACACAAAUUGGUAGAAAUUAUAAUGUUCACUACUGUUCAGAAGUUUGGGGUUUGUUAAGAUUUUUAUUUUUUUUAAAGGAAGACACUUGUGCUCACCAAU
This is a long non-coding RNA of Carassius auratus (goldfish), 671 nucleotides long. RefSeq lists it as uncharacterized. The transcript has 4 exons. The record is from RefSeq and is a predicted model, not a curated record. NCBI's taxonomy places the organism in Eukaryota, Metazoa, Chordata, Actinopteri, Cypriniformes, Cyprinidae.